This 468-nucleotide ribosomal RNA is filed under the name uncultured bacterium. RNAcentral's name for it is "partial 16S ribosomal RNA". It matches the Rfam family "Bacterial small subunit ribosomal RNA", at positions 28 to 507 of the family's 1533-position model. The record is from RNAcentral.
GACGAACGCUGGCGGCGUGCUUAACACAUGCAAGUCGAACGGAAAGGCCCUGCUUUUGUGGGGUGCUCGAGUGGCGAACGGGUGAGUAACACGUGAGUAACCUGCCCUUGACUUUGGGAUAACUUCAGGAAACUGGUGCUAAUACCGGAUAGGAGCUCCUGCUGCAUGGUGGGGGUUGGAAAGUUUCGGCGGUUGGGGAUGGACUCGCGGCUUAUCAGCUUGUUGGUGGGGUAGUGGAUUACCAAGGCGUUGACGGGUAGCCGGCCUGAGAGGGUGACAGGCCACAUUGGGAUUGAGAUACGGCCCAGACUCCUACGGGAGGCAGCAGUGGGGAAUAGUGCACAAUGGGCGGAAGCCUGAUGCAGCAACGCCGCGUGCGGGAUGAGGGCAUUGGGGUUGUAAACCGCUUUCGCUUGUGACGAAGCGUGAGUGACGGUACUGGGUAAAGAAGCACCGGCUAACUACGUG